CCUGGGUGGUCAGGCUUUGGUGGCUGGAGGCUUUGUCAGACACAGAGAUCUCCGGCCACUGGGACCUGCUGGACCAGCACCUGCAUUCUACAAGGUGCAGGGGGUGUCAAGGCUUCUCCCGAGGGGCAGGGCCCCGGUGGCCUCAGUGCAUUUUGCCGUCAUUACCUCCCUCCUGGCCCUGUCUCCUGUCCCGGUUCCCACAUGCUGGGAACAGCUGUCGCUCUAAGGGCUCACACUCCCAUCCCCCCUCACGUCUCCUUUUUGGUCACCUGAGACAAGAUGGAGGGCUCUGGCCUGUCUGUCCAGAGCACCUGGUCCCUUCUAGAAUCCAUGGUCCACGGUGCCAGCUCACCAAGAGCAGCCACCACCCAGGCCAUUAACGCCCACACCCAGGCAGCCGUGACGGAUGAGGAGAAAGAAACCCAGAGACAGGGCUCGGCCCCCGGAGCACCCCUCAGCCCAGCACCGACAGCUGACCGCCUCCGGGACAGCACAGAGGCUUGGUGAGGGAAGGAGGGCACACCACUUGCCACCAGAGCGCCACCGCCUCCUUCCAGCACGCACGCCCCUAAUGCCCACCCCGUCUACACCUCUGCCUCCCUGGCCCAGGCCCCAGAGCAUGAUUAAGAGGAGGGGCCUCAGCUUGGAGAGAAGCAGAGAAAGUUCCCCCCAAACCACCAGCUGGCCCUCUCCCCCCUUCCUGCAGCCGCCCAGCC
RNAcentral lists this long non-coding RNA (716 nucleotides) under Marmota monax (woodchuck). Lineage: Eukaryota; Metazoa; Chordata; Mammalia; Rodentia; Sciuridae. The record is from RNAcentral.